Astyanax mexicanus (Mexican tetra) is the source of this 2779-nucleotide long non-coding RNA. RefSeq lists it as uncharacterized. The record is from RefSeq and is a predicted model, not a curated record. NCBI's taxonomy places the organism in Eukaryota, Metazoa, Chordata, Actinopteri, Characiformes, Acestrorhamphidae. The transcript is spliced from 4 exons.
GUUUAAUUAGCUCUCUGCCUCCUCAGCUCCAUUCAGGCUGGGCUCGGCCGUAAUUAGGCAGUGGAGAAAAAGUGGAGGAAUCCUCGACCAGGCCGGGCAACCCUGAGUAACUGUAAAGAGGAAUGCUUGGCCCGAGUGCUUUAAGAAGAGUUGUGUUGGCAGUGUCCUCGCGGUGAUAGCGGAGCUGUAAAACGCAGCCGAAUGUGAAAACACCAACUGAGAGACAGUUAAACGGCAAGAAUGCAGUUGAUACAGCUGCUCUAAAAAGCAGAGCGGGAGGAUUUCUCUUUUUUCAAACCGUCUGUGCUUGCUGUUACUGCUGUUGUUGCUCUUGGGCCACCAAACAAGGCAGUGGUGGUAACCGUCAGCAACGGCCCACUCUAAUGUGAGUUAAUCAUAUACCCUGCGGUUAUAUGACAAAAAACAGGUUUUUGGCAUUAAACUGCCUUCACUACAGACCAGUACGAUUGCUACAUUCACACAACACACACACACACACACACAUACAGAGAUACACACUAUCGCUGGGAAGCAUGGCCACCACUGGUGUGAUUCGUGGACUGUGACUGGGAAAUGGUGACAGCGCUGGAUGAAAAAUCUACAAAAGUCUUCCUUAGAUACAGACACACUGAAGUCAUUGAUGUCUGGCACAGUUCUUUUCCGCUUCAUUCUGUGGCUGUCUGUCAUCAGGGUCCCAACUGAGACUCAGUGAUUUAUCGACAGGGUAAACUGUGUAUGAAUCAACCCAAAGCUUUAGUUACACAGUUUACAGUGUUUGAGUAACCACAAGACGCGUGUGUGUACACGCUACCGAUCCCGAUCCCGGCCCACCGGGGACCCUCCGUGUCUCUUGUCAGAGGGGGAAUUCUGCGAUGUCUUAAUGCUGAGCUGUAAAUAUUAAUUUAGAGCUUGGACGGGCUGUGUAAACAGCUCAGCGUAACGCUGCUGCUCUGUGGACUGAGAGUUACACAGUGUCCUUCACAUCAGCUGCUGCUUUAGAGAUGCUGAGAGACAAUAUAUGUAGCCUGUUUAAUUCAGGUUUAAUCCAGAGAAUUCUAGAGUUAUUAAACGUGAUCUGUUUUAGUAUUGUAAUACAGGAUAUCUACAGAUCAGAGGCUUACAUUUAUUUAUGUAGAAAAGGCCUUUAUUUGUCUUAACCCUUUCAGAUCCUGCAAACAAAAAUAGUUAUGGUGACAGGCCUCUAUACAAGAGUGUUUAAAAAGUGAAUUUAAUAUGUAAUAAACAGGGCCUACACUAAACAAAUUCGCGUAAUCUUACAUUAAUCUUGUUUAAACACACAUGGGCAGCAUCUACUAUCCGGGUAUAUUUCAGUAGUUAAUCAAAUGAACUGUAAACAGUGAGCAAGUUGAUCAGUGAGUCUUAAUAUAUUUAAAUAAAAUGAAGUGGUGUUGUGAAAUGUGUGAGCAGUGUGUUGUUUAGCGCUCGCGCCGAAGUCGUUUCACAGCGUGUGCAUCUGUGCAGCAGCAUCGCGAAAUUCUUGCGCAUAUUUAAGUGCAGCUAUUGAAAAAAUGGCCUACUUCCUGUUGUUGUUUAGAGCGGAGUGAUUCUAUUCAGGCCUGAGGAAGUGGAAUGAUUUAAAUACAGAUGUUUUUCACCCAGAACACACUCGCGAGGCACAGUGAGAGAGAGAGUGAGAGAGAGAGAGAGAGAGAGAGAGAGAACAUAACAGUCACAGUCAAAUGGACGAGUGUGCCAAAGAAAAUCGUAAGAGACAAUGAUAUCCAUCCACUUGUUCUUCUUCUUUUAUUUAACAUCUAAAUUUUAAUUUGAUUUGUUGUGUUUUUACUUAAAUACCGAAACCUAAGGCUGAAUUACUCAAUUUCAUAACAAAUGUUCAUGACAACAUUUUAUGUUACAUCACAAUUUUGUCCCAUUUUCUGUCCCUAAUGUACACGGCUAAUUACAUAACCCACUCAUUAGGACUCCCCCUAUAACUAGUGAUGCCCCAACACACCAGGAGGGUGAAGAUGAGCACAUGCCUCCUCCGAUACAUGUGAAGUCAGCCGUCGCCUCUAUUCGAACUGAUGCUAAUGCAGCAUUGCCGAGUAGCAUUUUCGGUUUCAAUACAGCAGCUCACAGACGCCUUGUGCUGAUCGACAUCACCCUUUGUAGUGAUGUGGGCAGAGAGCGCCGUCUACCCACCCAGAAUUCUCCUGGUCAUAGUGGCAGAACUUAGCCCGCUGGCCAAUCGGAGCCCUGUUACAUCACAAUUUUAACAAUUUUAAUAGGAAAUCUAUAAAUAUAUAAAACAUUUGCAGUGAUGUGUCCUCUUUAUCACAGCUAGAAAAUAACAUGAAUGAUCCUCUCAAUCAAUUUAUCUGAUACAAUAUUUAGAAAUUAGUCUAAAUUCUUAUGGGUUAAAUUGAGUCUGUGAAUAAACACAGACAGUACAUUUAAGUUUGGUUUUAUUUAAGUGCAAUAUAUAUCACAGUUUACAAAUUUGAUAUGCUAGUUAGUUAAAUUAAUUAAGUGGAACUACUGACAUUAUUCAUGUCCUGAUGAGUGCCAGUUUCAUCCCAAUGUUUUUGAUAGUCUUUGUGAUAGCAAUAUUGUAAAAUCCACUUCAGCAACUUCCUACCAGCAAGUUACUGUACGUAACGCUCUCUUCCCUUAUAGUGAUGUUUUAAUAAUAAAAUGUUUUUUUUUCUAUAUUUAAAUAUUAAAGCAUUUAAAGGGGACUCUAUACAAUAAAAUGGGGGCCUAUACAAUACAAAAGGAAUUUCUUUGAUUUUACCAAAUUGAAAACCUCUGGAAUAUA